This 73-nucleotide transfer RNA is filed under the name Felis catus (domestic cat). It matches the Rfam family "tRNA". Rfam says of the family: Transfer RNA (tRNA) molecules are approximately 80 nucleotides in length. Lineage: Eukaryota; Metazoa; Chordata; Mammalia; Carnivora; Felidae. The record is from Rfam by way of RNAcentral.
GCCUGGCUGGCUCAGUCAGUAGAGCAUGUGACUCUUAAUCUCAGGGUCGUAAAUUCAAGCUCCAUGGUGGGCG